This 88-nucleotide transfer RNA is filed under the name Capitella teleta. RNAcentral's name for it is "tRNA-Met for anticodon CAU". It matches the Rfam family "tRNA". From Rfam's summary of the family: Transfer RNA (tRNA) molecules are approximately 80 nucleotides in length. Lineage: Eukaryota; Metazoa; Annelida; Polychaeta; Capitellidae. The record is from Rfam by way of RNAcentral.
GCCUCGGUAGCGCAGUAGGCAGCGCGUCAGUCUCAUAAACACAAACCGAGAAAUCUGAAGGUCGAGAGUUCGAUCCUCUCCUGGGGCA